AUACGUAGGGGGCAAGCGUUGUCCGGAAUGACUGGGCGUAAAGGGCGCGUAGGCGGCUUUUUAAGUCUGGAGUGAAAGUCCUGCUUUCAAGGUGGGAAUUGCUUUGGAAACUGGAGAGCUUGAGUGCGGAAGAGGUAAGUGGAAUUCCCAGUGUAGCGGUGAAAUGCGUAGAGAUUGGGAGGAACACCAGUGGCGAAGGCGACUUACUGGGCCGUAACUGACGCUGAUGCGCGAAAGCGUGGGGAGC
This 247-nucleotide ribosomal RNA is filed under the name uncultured bacterium. RNAcentral's name for it is "partial 16S ribosomal RNA". It matches the Rfam family "Bacterial small subunit ribosomal RNA", at positions 523 to 769 of the family's 1533-position model. The record is from RNAcentral.